UGGUAGUACUGACAGCCGCAACGGACCUCGCGUCCGAGGCUAGACGUCGACGAGGCUCGCGAGGCGCGUCCUCGUUGAUCCGGCUCCAUCCCCACCCCCCUAGAUUCCACUUGUCCACCUCCAGUCUCCUCUUCCUCUGCCUACCUGACGCGCGACACCCGGGACUGCGUCGCGCGGUUACGUCGCGGUCGGCCGCGGUCACGGAGCUUCUUCGGGCUGGCCCCUAUACUCACGUAUCCUCUAACGGCGUCACCUCCCCCGGUGUCAUUCGUCGUUCGCUCUUACGUCGCUGCUUAUCGUCCAGGGACGAGCCAACGAGAUAUCCGGCUUGAUGAAACCAGGGGUCGCCGCGACCCCGGAGAAAGGUAGAGAAAGAGAGAGAGUGCGUGUGUGUGCGUGUGCGUGCGUGGGUGUACCCGAGCGAGCGAGAGAGAGCCGUUCCGCCUCCGAGAGCUGCCCGCCCGCCGCGGCUCUCCCGACUUCUGGCCCCGGACUCUCUUCUUCUACCCUCUCGGCGGCGAGCGGCGGCCGACCGGGCCGGACAUCAGGAUUAUUUAUAGAAAGUUUUCGUGUCGGCCGACUGUUAUUGAGCCAUCCUAGCCAGAAUAUCGUCUCACCUGUCCUGCUCCGAGUCGGGUCUGUGGAGAUUCCGCGGCCCCAACACCUGGCCACCGAGAUGCGAGUCGAGAUAGGGCGGCGCGACGCGAAUCGACACGACCGGCCGCGACGAUGAACGCCGACGGCGGGAAGAUUCGAUUUUUUUACCGCUCUCCCUUGGGCUUCGUUCACAGCCGGCGGACGACACCGACGGAAGUUGUAGUAAUCGUAAUCGUAGUCGUGGCUGUACGGCGGCAGCAGGGACGUCGACUCGGUGGCCGGACAGGGAAGAUGCCGGGGUCAGGCGAGCUCGUUGCUGUCCGGGAAGUGGUCGCGGCAGUCGAGGCACGCGGCCAGGUCGAGCACCAGGUGGUGGAGUGUUGGGUGCUCGAGCACCUCGGCGUCCGGUAACGGCGGAUGGCAACGGGGCCUCUGCUGUCUACCCCUGAACGACCGGUGCAGGUUGAGCACCACGUCACAGAACACGUAACGCACCAGCAACAGCCGUAGGAAAUCGUCACCGAAGAAUUGCAACACGCUGGUCUCUGUCGGGACAACGAAAUGUUUGUCCCCCCAACCCCGUAACGUCGCGCGAGAGGUUAGCAGGACGUUUGGAAGCAGAAGAAGCUAAUUAUCUUCGAGGGUUCUUAAGCGUGGAACUGAUACUUGAGUGGAGAGAAACUGCCGGAGUCAGGCAUCGAUGUCGCGACGAAGGGGUCGAGCAGAAUCUCCCAGAGAUUACGCAAGCGUUGAUAAACCCUUGCUCCAGAUUCGCAAGAGGCGACGUCGCAUAAACGCGCGAGUUUUCAACUCGUGAAUACUCUUUCGUCGCGACAGCCUAACGAAAUCAUUGUCGGCGGCUGACGAUUCCAGCCGCCAGCUAGGAGGACUCCGAUCCAAACAUAUAUCGGGUGUCUCGGAAAUCACGAGACAAAACGUCAAAAAACUCAUUUCACGAGAUAAACUGAUAAAUUUGUAUACAUGAAGCUUUGUGUUUGAUAAACAUAUAAAAGGUUUCUUAAAUUUUCCAAAUUCUCUUAUAAAUUACUCGAAAACAAUUACAAUAAGAUUGAUGUUGAAUGAAAAUACUUAAUUGCAUAAGUAAGUAGAUAAUAGUGUAACGUAAGAAUCGCGGCGCCAAAUAAUGAACAAUCCUUUCAUUUAUCUUUGCUAUCAAAGAACGAGUGAUACUUAAAACGCUGCAGAGUCUCGUAGCAGUCAACGUGUUAACUGAUUUACAUCAUCAACGUAUAUACACGUUUUUAGUCUAAGCAGCUAAUAAAUAGUCAAUCAAUAUUAUAGAAAUAUUACAUUAUUACUAUUAUCAUACUAUUACUAUUACUAUUCUUUA
This is an RNA transcript of Nomia melanderi (Alkali bee), 1948 nucleotides long. It is a transcript of the gene named trypsin-like serine protease domain-containing protein masquerade, with no coding region annotated. The record is from RefSeq and is a predicted model, not a curated record. NCBI's taxonomy places the organism in Eukaryota, Metazoa, Arthropoda, Insecta, Hymenoptera, Halictidae.